This 218-nucleotide long non-coding RNA is filed under the name Manihot esculenta (cassava). RNAcentral describes it as "long non-coding RNA (MESC_LNC008014)". Lineage: Eukaryota; Viridiplantae; Streptophyta; Magnoliopsida; Malpighiales; Euphorbiaceae. The record is from RNAcentral.
CCAGAUUAGAUAGAGGGAUUUUUGAUCCGUCCGGCCGAGGUGAUGUGCUUAUAUGUUGCAUUCCAUGAGAGCAUGUUUUAUCACCUGUUAUUUACUAUUCUACUCACUGGGCUAUUGUAGCUCAUCCCUCUCCCCUAACUCCAGUUGUGCAGGUUCAGAGGUCAGAGAGAACUCAGCAGGGUACAGGAAGAGUACAGAGUUUUGUAAUAGCUAGCGUG